GCCGGGGGGUGCUUACCUGCAAGUCGAACGAUGAUCCCAGCUUGCUGGGGGAUUAGUGGCGAACGGGUGAGUAACACGUGAGUAACCUGCCCUUAACUCUGGGAUAAGCCUGGGAAACUGGGUCUAAUACCGGAUAUGACUCCUCAUCGCAUGGUGGGGGGUGGAAAGCUUUUUGUGGUUUUGGAUGGACUCGCGGCCUAUCAGCUUGUUGGUGAGGUAAUGGCUUACCAAGGCGACGACGGGUAGCCGGCCUGAGAGGGUGACCGGCCACACUGGGACUGAGACACGGCCCAGACUCCUACGGGAGGCAGCAGUGGGGAAUAUUGCACAAUGGGCGCAAGCCUGAUGCAGCGACGCCGCGUGAGGGAUGACGGCCUUCGGGUUGUAAACCUCUUUCAGUAGGGAAGAAGCGAAAGUGACGGUACCUGCAGAAGAAGCGCCGGCUAACUACGUGCCAGCAGCCGCGGUAAUACGUAGGGCGCAAGCGUUAUCCGGAAUUAUUGGGCGUAAAGAGCUCGUAGGCGGUUUGUCGCGUCUGCCGUGAAAGUCCGGGGCUCAACUCCGGAUCUGCGGUGGGUACGGGCAGACUAGAGUGAUGUAGGGGAGACUGGAAUUCCUGGUGUAGCGGUGAAAUGCGUAGA
RNAcentral lists this ribosomal RNA (641 nucleotides) under Arthrobacter sp. EK-I44. Its description in RNAcentral is "bacterial SSU rRNA". It matches the Rfam family "Bacterial small subunit ribosomal RNA", at positions 35 to 694 of the family's 1533-position model. Lineage: Bacteria; Bacillati; Actinomycetota; Actinomycetes; Micrococcales; Micrococcaceae. The record is from RNAcentral.